Anarrhichthys ocellatus (wolf-eel) is the source of this 378-nucleotide non-coding RNA. NCBI's taxonomy places the organism in Eukaryota, Metazoa, Chordata, Actinopteri, Perciformes, Anarhichadidae. The record is from the annotation of a RefSeq genome assembly.
AUGACUCAAGUUCUCAUCACAUUUGUAGUCUCGUCUCUGUUACUUCAAGGUCAGUGCCAGGAUGUGACCCAAUACCCUGAAAUCAAUUGGAGUUAUGUUUCCAAAUCUGCAGAGAUGAACUGCAGCCACAACAAAGACGCCAGUCACAACCAGAUGUACUGGUACAGACAGCGUCCAGGAGAGACCAUGACCCUCGUGGUCUACACAGUUUUUGGUGGACAGCCAGACUAUGGGGUGCUCCCUCAAACCAAAUAUUCAGCCGUCAAAGACAACAUAGCGAGUGGGGCUCUUAUUGUGAAAGACUUGCAGCUUGAGGACGGUGGUGUGUAUUUUUGUGCCGUCAGCAAACACAGUGAUGUGACAAGUAUAAGCAGCUGA